RNAcentral lists this non-coding RNA (219 nucleotides) under Stenotrophomonas sp. The record is from RNAcentral. Lineage: Bacteria; Pseudomonadati; Pseudomonadota; Gammaproteobacteria; Lysobacterales; Lysobacteraceae.
CACCCGUCUCUUUAUUCGGGUGAAGGGAUGGAAUUAAACGGAAGCCCUGUGAAGCGCGCCCGCAAGGCCCGCCAUUCCGAAGCUGCCCCGCAGCGGUGAAUGGAAACGACCGCCGUCACCGGGCACUGGGCCCAACGCCCGGGAAGCGACGGCCACCAGGCGGACGCAGCCGCGUCCAUGUCCGUCAGCCCGAACACCGGCCUGGGCUGGAGGCGCAUC